CGCACGGGUGAGUAACACGUAUCCAACCUGCCGUCUACUCUUGGACAGCCUUCUGAAAGGAAGAUUAAUACAAGAUGGCAUCAUGAGUUCACAUGUCACAUGAUUAAAGGUAUUCCGGUAGACGAUGGGGAUGCGUUCCAUUAGAUAGUAGGCGGGGUAACGGCCCACCUAGUCUUCGAUGGAUAGGGGUUCUGAGAGGAAGGUCCCCCACAUUGGAACUGAGACACGGUCCAA
Molecule: ribosomal RNA, 234 nt
Filed under: uncultured bacterium
Lineage: Bacteria
Description: partial 16S ribosomal RNA
Rfam family: Bacterial small subunit ribosomal RNA
Source: RNAcentral